Molecule: ribosomal RNA, 253 nt
Filed under: uncultured bacterium
Lineage: Bacteria
Description: partial 16S ribosomal RNA
Rfam family: Bacterial small subunit ribosomal RNA
Source: RNAcentral
GACAGAGGGUGCGAACGUUGCUCGGAAUUACUGGGCGUAAAGCGCGUGUAGGCGGAUGCGCAAGUCCGUUGUGAAAUCCCUGGGCUCAACCCAGGAACUGCAUCGGAAACUGCACAUCUUGAGUAAUGGAGAGGGAAGUGGAAUUCCCGGUGUAGAGGUGAAAUUCGUAGAUAUCGGGAGGAACACCAGUGGCGAAGGCGGCUUCCUGGACAUUUACUGACGCUGGGACGCGAAAGCGUGGGGAGCAAACAGG